This 590-nucleotide ribosomal RNA is filed under the name Citharinus citharus (moon fish). RNAcentral's name for it is "partial 16S large subunit ribosomal RNA". It matches the Rfam family "Bacterial large subunit ribosomal RNA", at positions 1810 to 2606 of the family's 2925-position model. Lineage: Eukaryota; Metazoa; Chordata; Actinopteri; Characiformes; Citharinidae. The record is from RNAcentral.
AAAACAUCGCCUCCCGCAAAAAUCAACGUAUAGGAGGUCCUGCCUGCCCAGUGACUUAGUUAAACGGCCGCGGUAUCUUGACCGUGCAAAGGUAGCGCAAUCACUUGUCUUUUAAAUGAAGACCUGUAUGAAUGGCAAGACGAGGGCUUAACUGUCUCCCCCUUCUAGUCAGUGAAAUUGAUCUGCCCGUGCAGAAGCGGACAUAAACAUACAAGACGAGAAGACCCUUUGGAGCUUAAGACACCAGGACCACCUACGUCAAAAACUUAGCCUAAACUAAUCUAAACAAAGUAGCAUCUGGUCCCCGUCUUCGGUUGGGGCGACCGCGGGGGAAAAUAAAGCCCCCACGUGGAAUGGGAAAUACCCUAAAACCAAGAGAGACAUCUCCAAGAAACAGAACAUCUGACCAAAAAGAUCCGGCCACUACGGCCGAUCAACGGACCAAGUUACCCUAGGGAUAACAGCGCAAUCCUCUUCCAGAGUCCAUAUCGACAAGGGGGUUUACGACCUCGAUGUUGGAUCAGGACAUCCUAAUGGUGCAGCCGCUAUUAAGGGUUCGUUUGUUCAACGAUUAAAGUCCUACGUGAUCU